RNAcentral lists this transfer RNA (84 nucleotides) under Annulohypoxylon moriforme. RNAcentral describes it as "tRNA-Pro". It matches the Rfam family "tRNA". From Rfam's summary of the family: Transfer RNA (tRNA) molecules are approximately 80 nucleotides in length. The record is from RNAcentral. Lineage: Eukaryota; Fungi; Ascomycota; Sordariomycetes; Xylariales; Hypoxylaceae.
GGCGUCUUGGAGAAGUGGUUAACUCACUCCCUUUGGGCUUAGGCAUAAUGGGAGAGGUCAGGGGUUCGAACCCCCUAGGCGCCC